GAGCGAUCGCAGCAAUGCGGGAGCGGCAGACGGGUGAGGAACACGUGGGAACAUACCCUUUGGUUCGGAAUAACUCAGGGAAACUUGAGCUAAUACCGGAUAAGUCGGCAACGAGAAAGAUUCAUCGCCGAAGGAUUGGCCCGCGUCCGAUUAGCUAGUUGGUGUGGUAAUGGCGCACCAAGGCGACGAUCGGUAGCUGGUCUGAGAGGAUGAUCAGCCACAUUGGGACUGAGACACGGCCCAAACUCCUACGGGGGGCAGCAGUGGGGAAUAUUGGACAAUGGGCGCAAGCCUGAUCCAGCCAUGCCGCGUGAGUGAUGACGGCCCUAGGGUUGUAAAGCUCUUUCACCCACGACGAUAAUGACGGUAGUGGGGGAAGAAGCCCCGGCUAACUUCGUG
This 399-nucleotide ribosomal RNA is filed under the name uncultured bacterium. RNAcentral's name for it is "bacterial SSU rRNA". It matches the Rfam family "Bacterial small subunit ribosomal RNA", at positions 64 to 507 of the family's 1533-position model. The record is from RNAcentral.